GACGAACGCUGGCGGCGUGCCUAAUACAUGCAAGUUGAGCGAUGAAGAUUGGUGCUUGCACCAAUUUGAAGAGCAGCGAACGGGUGAGUAACGCGUGGGGAAUCUGCCUUUGAGCGGGGGACAACAUUGGAAACGAAUGCUAAUACCGCAUAGCAACUUUAAACAUAAGUUUUAAGUUUGAAAGAUGCAAUUGCAUCACUCAAAGAUGAUCCCGCGUUGUAUUAGCUAGUUGGUGAGGUAAAGGCUCACCAAGGCGAUGAUACAUAGCCGACCUGAGAGGGUGAUCGGCCACAUUGGGACUGAGACACGGCCCAAACUCCUACGGGAGGCAGCAGUAGGGAAUCUUCGGCAAUGGACGAAAGUCUGACCGAGCAACGCCGCGUGAGUGAAGAAGGUUUUCGGAUCGUAAAACUCUGUUGGUAGAGAAGAACGUUGGUGAGAGUGGAAAGCUCAUCAAGUGACGGUAACUACCCAGAAAGGGACGGCUAACUACGUG
Molecule: ribosomal RNA, 496 nt
Filed under: uncultured bacterium
Lineage: Bacteria
Description: partial 16S ribosomal RNA
Rfam family: Bacterial small subunit ribosomal RNA
Source: RNAcentral